RNAcentral lists this unclassified non-coding RNA (253 nucleotides) under uncultured Caryophanales bacterium. RNAcentral describes it as "uncultured Bacillales bacterium contains 16S-23S intergenic spacer region". It matches the Rfam family "Bacterial small subunit ribosomal RNA", at positions 524 to 776 of the family's 1533-position model. The record is from RNAcentral. Lineage: Bacteria; Bacillati; Bacillota; Bacilli; Caryophanales.
UACGUAGGUGGCAAGCGUUGACCGGAAUUAUUGGGCGUAAAGCGCGCGCAGGCGGUCCUUUAAGUCUGAUGUGAAAGCCCCCGGCUCAACCGUGGAGGGGCAUUCGAAACUGGCGGACUUGAGUGCAGAAGAGGAGAGUAGAAUUCCACGUGUAGCGGUGAAAUGCGUAGAGAUGUGGAGGAACACCAGUGGCGAAGGCGACUUUCUGGUCUGUAACUGACGCUGAGGCGCGAAAGCGUGGGGAGCAAACAGG